Molecule: long non-coding RNA, 516 nt
Filed under: Olea europaea (common olive)
Lineage: Eukaryota; Viridiplantae; Streptophyta; Magnoliopsida; Lamiales; Oleaceae
Description: long non-coding RNA (OEUR_LNC003744)
Source: RNAcentral
CACAUUAAAAUUAUCGACACUACUUUGUCUGGCCAUGAAUUUUAGCAUCUGCAAACUCGCUGCUGCUUGUGAGUUUAAAUCUUCAAUAAUGUAAGCACAAUCUAUAAAUUCACUGUCACUCAAGCUAAAGACUAAUUACAAAAAUAUAAUAAUAAUAAUAAUAAUAAUAAUAUAACUUAACUACAAGCAAAUUUACUAGAAACAGGGUGACGAUGAAAAACAGAACGAAAAGAAAAAAAAAAUGAAGGAAUCCGAAAUUAAAAAAUGAUUUGAAAAUAUCUACAUAUACACACUGCCGCAAUUAUAUAUAUUUAUAUACACGCACAGAGAAGAGAAAUUACCAUUCCACAGAAACAAGAUAUCACGAGCUAGGGUUUCUGAAAAACGCGAAGAUGUCAGCGGGCUGAAGCGCAAAACCGAUCUGCCUCUGUUUAACGUUUAGGCCAGUUAGGGUUAUGAGAAGGUAUUUAUAGUCUUCAAUAUAUUUUUAAAAAUUGUAGCAAUUAAGAGUUGCUC